GAUGAACGCUAGCGGCAGGCCUAACACAUGCAAGUCGAGCGGCAACAUGGUGAUAGCUUGCUAAUGCCGAUGGCGACGGGCGCACGGGUGAGUAGCACGUAACCAACCUGCAGUCUACUCUUGGACAGCCUUCUGCGAUGAAGAUUAAUACAAGAUGGCAUAAUGACUCCGCAUGUUCACAUGAUUCAAGGUAUUCCGGUAGACGAUGGGGAUGCGUUCCAUUAGAUAGUAGGGGGGGUAACGGCACACCAAGUCUACGAUGCGUAGCAGAGCUGAGAGGGUAGCAAGCCACACUGGAACUGAGACACGGCCCAGACUACUACGGGAGGCAGCAGUGGGGAAUCUUACACAAGGGGCGGAAGCCUGACGGAGCCAAGCCGCGUGGGUGAAAAAGGUCUUCGGAUAGUAAAUGUCUAUUUUUUGGGAAGAAGAAAUGAGUCAGGAAUGAUGACCCGCUUGACGGUACCUAAUGAAAAAGGAACGGCUAACUACGUG
RNAcentral lists this ribosomal RNA (495 nucleotides) under uncultured bacterium. Its description in RNAcentral is "partial 16S ribosomal RNA". It matches the Rfam family "Bacterial small subunit ribosomal RNA", at positions 28 to 507 of the family's 1533-position model. The record is from RNAcentral.